AUGCAUGUCUAAGUCCAAGCUGUGUUUACACGGCGAGACCGCGGACGGCUCAUUAAAUCAGUCGUUGUCCAAAUGGGCCAGUCCUUACUACUUGGAUAACUGUGGUAAUUCCAGAGCUAAUACAUGCAACUGUUAACCCCGAAGGCAGGAGCUUGUCUUCUGCUCGACGGGUGCUUUUAUUAGACCAAACCGCUGGGAGAGGCGCAAGCCUCUCGACUCGCUGUGUGGUGACUCUGGAUAACCAAUUUUGACAAGCGCACGUACCUCUCGGGGACGGCGCUGCCACUUUCGAGUGUCUGCCUUAUCAGCUGUCAACCGUUCGUUACACGCGACCGAUGGCUUUGACGGGUAACGGGGAAUCAGGGUUCGAUUCCGGAGAGGCAGCCUGAGAGACGGCUACCACGUCCAAGGACGGCAGCAGGCACGCAAAUUACCCAAUCCCAGCACCUGGGGGAGGUAGUGACGAAACCUAACGAUGCGGGCGCCCUUUACGGGCCCCGCAAUCGGAAUGAGCACUUUCUAAACAACCUGUUGAGAACCUACUGAAGGGCAAGUCUGGUGCCAGCAGCCGCGGUAAUUCCAGCUUCAGUAGCAUCUAUUAAAGUUGCUGCGGUUAAAAGGCUCGCAGUUGAAUGUCAGUGCCAGCUGUUGGUGGGUGGACGUUGGAGUGGCAGCUAUCGGCGCAAGCCAGCUGUUCGCUCCCGUCCGUUACAAGCCCCCACGGCUGUGUACACAGUGGCACCAACUGAGCUGUGGUGCAGGGGCUUCGCGGCUCUUGUCUGCAGUCUCUCUGGUGCCAACGUCACCCUGAGUAAAUCAGAGUGCUUAAAGCAGUCGUAUUGGGCGCAAGCCCUUUGAACACAGUCGCCUCUCGCAGGUGACACGGACAGACUUGGUUUUGCAUGGCAUGUCGGAAUACGACGUCGGGCGC
Molecule: ribosomal RNA, 931 nt
Filed under: Jassa marmorata
Lineage: Eukaryota; Metazoa; Arthropoda; Malacostraca; Amphipoda; Ischyroceridae
Description: bacterial SSU rRNA
Rfam family: Eukaryotic small subunit ribosomal RNA
Source: RNAcentral